RNAcentral lists this ribosomal RNA (497 nucleotides) under uncultured bacterium. Its description in RNAcentral is "partial 16S ribosomal RNA". It matches the Rfam family "Bacterial small subunit ribosomal RNA", at positions 28 to 507 of the family's 1533-position model. The record is from RNAcentral.
GAUGAACGCUGGCGGCGUGCCUAAUACAUGCAAGUCGAGCGCACCGACGAGGAUCUUGCUCCUCUGACGUUAGCGGCGGACGGGUGAGUCCCACGUGGAUAACCUACCUAUAAGACUGGGAUAAUUUCGGGAAACCGGAGCUCAUACCGGAUAAUAUAUUGAACCGCAUUGUUCAAUAGUGAAAGACGGUUUUGCUGUCACUUAUAGAUUGAUCCGCGCCGCAUUAGCUAGUUGGUAAGGUAGCGGCUUACCAAGGCAACGAUGCGAAGCCGACCUGAGAGGGUGAUCGGCCACACGGUAACUGAGACACGGUCCAGACACCGACGGUAGGCCGCAGUAGGGAAUCUUACGCAAGGGGCGAAAGCCUGACGGAGCAACGCCGCGUGAGUGAUGAACGUCUCCGGAUCGUAAAACUCUGUUAGUAGGAAAGAACAAAAGUGUAAGUAACUAGGCACGUCUUGACGGUACCUAAACAGAAAGCCACGGCUAACUACGUG